This 2458-nucleotide unclassified non-coding RNA is filed under the name Leishmania donovani. Its description in RNAcentral is "gene:LdHU3.34.1950(CDS-product:hypothetical_prote in_conserved)". Lineage: Eukaryota; Euglenozoa; Kinetoplastea; Trypanosomatida; Trypanosomatidae. The record is from RNAcentral.
CUGCUUUCUGCUUACCUGUCUUAUCAUCCAGUGAAUUGCUACCUCCGACCCACCCACCCGAUCUUUUCCUUUUCUCUGCUUGUCUUCCUUCUUCCCACCCCCACACCUCUGCUUGCUGCUCUUCUUGUGUACGUCUGCUUAUGCGCUUGUCUUGCGCGCCUGCGCCUACUUGCCUUCCUCUUUUCCUCUACCUCCUCUCGAUAGAUUCUCUACCACCCUCCCCACCGCCGUCACCACCACCACUACACCCCCCUCCCGUUUUCUCUCACGCUUGCUCCUUGUAGAGAGGUGGUUAUCGGUGCCAGCGCAUACGCACGCAAACGCAGAGCGGCGUUCACACGCUCGUGCUUUCACCUUCUACUUCGCUUGCUUUACGCUUCUUGACAGCUGGGUCGCCGUGCGGUGCCGGCACGCUCCACUCGUCAUCUUAUCCCUUUGCAUUUUCUCGGAGCGCUCUUCACCGUGUGCGCCCGACGAGGGCUCCGCAUCGUGCUGCUUUCGCAAACAUACAAAACAGGCGCGUUGGCAACAUGAACUACCAAGUCUUCAGCUACAUGCCAUCGGCGGCGUCCGCCCCGGCGACAGCGUCGUCUAGUGUCGCCGAUGCACCGCCGCGACCCAUCCGCGUCACCCCCUCCGCCUUGUCUGCCCUCCUGUACGCCAUUCUCUACUCUAUUGAGUUCCAAUCCCCCGUUGGGCCGCGCCCCCCCACGCUGCGCGAUCACGCGACGCCACGCGGCUCUGGCGGUGCGGUCAGCACCGGCGCGGCGGCGCCGUCGGCCGCCACGCUCUUAACCUCUGCAGUGUCUGUAAUGUCGAGCUUUUGGGGCCGAUAUCCCGCAACAAUGCAAAACCAGCAGCCAAUGCAGAACAAGUCGCAGCAGCAGGAUGCCUCUUUCCAACUAGCCACGGGUGCGACGGCAGCGGCGUUUCCUGGGUCCUUCGACGCCUCCCCGGAGACCUCCGCGCGGUCUCUGACGCUCGCCGAGACAGCUGAGUUGGCGGCGCUUCAGCGGCAGCAUGAGCAGCCGUUUGUCGUACCGGUGACGCAGGUCUUGCACAAGCUCGGAGGCGUGCACAUCACCGUCCGCGAGACGCACAAUCCUACUAUCACCAUCGCCUACAAUCGCGUGAUGGAAGAGAUUGAUGCUCUCGUGUCGGAGCACGAGCAACGGCUGGCUCGGCUCCCCCUUUCCAGCUCGCUGUCGUUCUCCAGCCAGGCACUGAUAGCGGGGCAGAGCACUUUGGCCAGCGCGACGGUGCUCAUCAACAGCGGUAUCGUGGAAGGCGGUGCCUCUGUGGCAGGCUCGCGAGGGGAGAACACAGCUGAAAGGCUAGCGCGCAACAGUAACACAGCGGGCCUUCCGGCGCCACAACAGCUGCCGCGGGCUCUUCUGCAGUCGGUUGAUCUGCGGCAGGCACUCCCUUCGCCGGCCUCCCCCAUGUCCCCGUUGCGGUCUGUCUCUGGGGUGGGCAGCCCCACGUCGGACGCCACCGCCGCAACAUGGGGUCGCAGCGGAGCCGGCUGCAACAGCGACUGUGGCGAUGCAUGGACUCUGGGCCGCGAUGAAGUCGGUAUGGUGCUCUCUGUGCGUUUAUUGUCAAAGGAGGUGACGCGGUGGCGUAUGGCCCACGAGCGGCCACUGGCGGAGUGGCGGUUCCCCAUCAUUCGAACCUCAAACGAGCGCUUGAUUCGGCCGCGCACGCAGAAUUCAGUGGCGACGGGGGCCGCAGGCAGUGCUGCCGUGGAUGGCACUGAGGCCAAUCGCCACGACUACCGCGGAGAGGGUGGGGCGCGGAGCGUCCCUGCGGAACUGACUCUCGUAAACGACCCUGCACAGGUACACCACGUGCUAGAGUUCAUCUUAAAGUCGAGCUACCAGACAACGAGCAUGGAGACGUUUACGGACUUCACCUCCGGCGAGCUGGUGUUUGACGCCCAUGUGCAGGAGAAGCACCGCUUUACAUAACGGUGUAUUUCUCUUGUUGCCUGCCCGAUUUCAUCUUAGAGAGAAGCUGCAGUCGCUCUGGCGUUGCGUGCCGCGCACGCCGCACAGUGAGGGGUCUCACUUGAUAGGGCUUUGCUCUCUUGCGAAUACCUGCUGGCCCGUGCGUGAGUGCAUGCAUGUGUGUCUGAUGGAUGCUGUUCACCUUCACAGGUGUGAAUGUCUUUGCCAGGAAGCCGUCUGCGUUCACGUGUUCAGAAUCCGCAAUCACACAUCUAUAAACAGAAAAGAGAAAACAGACGAGCUGCACAACGCGACACGCUCACUGGCCCCCCUCCCUCCUUCCCUCCAAGUUGCACUCACAGAUUGGUUUUUCGUUUUGCGUGUUGCGUGACAGCAACAAGCGAGGCGUUAUCCGCCCCUCCGCCUUCCACCCUGCACGUAGGCGCGCACGGAUGCUUGGGCGAUGACGCCACCCCUUUUUGCCUCCUUUGUUUCUCUCGCAUGUGCAG